RNAcentral lists this ribosomal RNA (449 nucleotides) under uncultured bacterium. Its description in RNAcentral is "partial 16S ribosomal RNA". It matches the Rfam family "Bacterial small subunit ribosomal RNA", at positions 29 to 523 of the family's 1533-position model. The record is from RNAcentral.
AGCGAACGCUGGCGGCAGGCCUAACACAUGCAAGUCGAACGGACCCUUCGGGGUUAGUGGCGGACGGGUGAGUAACACGUGGGAACGUGCCUUUAGGUUCGGAAUAGCUCCUGGAAACGGGUGGUAAUGCCGAAUGUGCCCUUCGGGGGAAAGAUUUAUCGCCUUUAGAGCGGCCCGCGUCUGAUUAGCUAGUUGGUGAGGUAACGGCUCACCAAGGCGACGAUCAGUAGCUGGUCUGAGAGGAUGACCAGCCACACUGGGACUGAGACACGGCCGAGACUCCUACGGGAGGCAGCAGUGGGGAAUCUUGCGCAAUGGGCGAAAGCCUGACGCAGCCACGCUGCGUGAAUGAUGAAGGUCUUAGGAUUGUAAAAUUCUUUCACCGGGGGCGAUAAUGACGGUACCCGGAGAAGAAGCCCCGGCUAACUUCGUGCCAGCCGCCGCAGUAA